GACGAACGCUGGCGGCGUGCUUAACACAUGCAAGUCGAACGGGUCUGCCCUGUUUUUUGCGGGGUGGGUCAGUGGCGAACGGGUGAGUAACACGUGAGUAACCUGCCCCUCACUUCUGGAUAACCGCUUGAAAGGGUGGCUAAUACGGGGUGUUCUGGCUGUGCCGCAUGGUGUGGCUGGGAAAGAUUCACUUUUGUGGUGUUUUGGUGGGGGAUGGGCUCGCGGCCUAUCAGCUUGUUGGUGGGGUGAUGGCCUGCCAAGGCUUUGACGGGUAGCCGGCCUGGGGGGGUUGGCCGGUCAACUGGGAACUGGGUAACGGCCAGACUCCUGCGGGAGGCAGCAGUGGGGGGUAUUGCACAAUGGGCGGAAGCCUGAUGCAGCGACGUCGCGUGAGGGAUGGAGGCCUUCGGGUUGUGAACCUCUUUCGCCGGUGAAGAAGGUCCUGCUCUUUGUGGUGGGGUUGACGGUAGCCGGGUUAUGAAGCGCCGGCUAACUACGUG
This 500-nucleotide ribosomal RNA is filed under the name uncultured bacterium. RNAcentral describes it as "partial 16S ribosomal RNA". It matches the Rfam family "Bacterial small subunit ribosomal RNA", at positions 28 to 507 of the family's 1533-position model. The record is from RNAcentral.